UACGUAGGGGGCAAGCGUUGUCCGGAUUUAUUGGGCGUAAAGAGCUCGUAGGUGGUUCGGUAAGUCGGAUGUGAAAUCUCCAGGCUCAACCUGGAGGGGUCAUUCGAUACUGCCGUGACUAGAGUUCGGUAGGGGAGUGUGGAAUUCCUGGUGGAGCGGUGAAAUGCGCAGAUAUCAGGAGGAACACCCGUAGCGAAGGCGGCACUCUGGGCCGAUACUGACACUGAGGAGCGGAAGCGUGGGGAGCGAACAGG
RNAcentral lists this ribosomal RNA (254 nucleotides) under uncultured bacterium. RNAcentral's name for it is "partial 16S ribosomal RNA". It matches the Rfam family "Bacterial small subunit ribosomal RNA", at positions 524 to 776 of the family's 1533-position model. The record is from RNAcentral.